This 69-nucleotide transfer RNA is filed under the name Marmota monax (woodchuck). Its description in RNAcentral is "tRNA.Gly". The record is from RNAcentral. Lineage: Eukaryota; Metazoa; Chordata; Mammalia; Rodentia; Sciuridae.
GGGGCUGUGGCUCAGUGGUACAGUGCUUGUCUACCAUGCAUGAGUCACUGGGUUUGAUCCUCAGCACCA